Molecule: non-coding RNA, 1993 nt
Organism: Durio zibethinus
Lineage: Eukaryota; Viridiplantae; Streptophyta; Magnoliopsida; Malvales; Malvaceae
Source: RefSeq, a predicted model, not a curated record
UUCCGUACGUCCAACGCCCAAAGCCCCAAGCCCCUUCCAAUUGUCAGAGCACGAAAACCCUAAUCUGGAAGAUAGACAGAUAGUCGGCUGGUAGACAAUCGAAGGGAAAGGAAAAUGACAGGGAAAUUAUUUGCUCUCCGCCAGGCCUUCAACUUCCGAUCCAUUUCUUCUUCUUUUUCUCUGAAACAAAAAAUCUGUCAAUUUCCAGCACACAAAAAAACCUGAACGCAUUGCCAAUCUUCUCCGAAGUUUCUAGAACCUUCUGCUCCUCAUCCUCAGUACCAUCGAAUACGAGACAACCAACUGUAGCGAGGAUUCCUUUUGUGGAUGCGUUUCUGGCAAGAAUGAAAAAGAACAAACAUCUUUUAGCCAACCAGAAAAUUUGGUCGCGUAGAUCUACUAUUUUGCCUGAAUUCGUAGAUCAAACUGUACGGAUUUACAAUGGGAAAAAUUUUGUUCGCUGCAAGAUUACAGAAGGCAAAGUGGGUCAUAAGUUUGGUGAGUUUGCUUUGACUCGGAAACGGAAGCAUUUGAGAGCCAAAAUCGAACCUGCAAAAAAGAAGGGCAAAAAGUAAACAUUUGCCACCCCAAAAACAACAUCCAUUUCGGAAGAGAAGUGUGAUUCCAGAGAAUGGUAAAUGUAAAUUGAUGCUUGAUUUGAUGGGACCUUUUUCAAGCAAUCAAAGAGGGAAGAGACUGGUUUUAAGGUCUCUUUUGUUAAAUGAUUUUAGGAUUUUGUUUGGUCAGUUGUUGGCCUGCAUUAUUAUUCUGAAAAAGUACAGUUUUUGGUUGGGAUGUUUUUAUGGUCCAUGCAGGUUGAUUUUGCAAUAAAAUUGUCAAAUUGAUAUUCUCAAUUUCUAAUAUGUGGAACGCAUCCUGAGAUGCUGCUGCUACAAAGGAAAGAAAAGGUUUUUGUGAUUGUUAGUGUCAGGACAGUUACUACUUAAAUAUAAUCAUAAAUAUAUAUAUAUAUAUAUGUUUUAUCUUGCUUGGAAUUUGAUCAAUCUUUAUAAGAGAACCUAAAAUGUCAUCCAAGUACAUUGAGAAAUUGGAAGUUAUAGCCUGUUUCUUCAUAGUGGGAGUAUAUUUCCAAGUAAGCAAACAAAUAAGGCAAAUUGUUAUCUUCUUUUUUAUGUAGGUAUGUGUGUGUAUGUGAAAACGUUGUUAUGUCAUUCUCCAGUAGAUCUUGUCUGAUUUUUGAGAUUAUAAUCAUCUAAACUCUUAAAGAAUUAUAGGACCCUAAAUCACAACUCUUAUUUUUAUCAAUCUCGCUUGUAUCUGUUCUUUGAUGUAAGGAAGCAGUAUCGGUCUCAGGCCCUACACCCUAGUCUUAAUGUUUGCUCACAGUCCAUUUGGGCUUUGAUCCAACACAAUGGCGGAUGGAUAAAUGUCUACUCUCUGCUAGCUUAGAAAAUGAGAGGAAGGAGUAUUGGUGGGUUGACAAUAUUGCCACCCCAAGAAAUUUUUUUUUUUUUUGUUGAGUAUGAUACAAUACAUAGUGUCAUAGUGAUAAUUUUGAAUUGAUGAACUUACAAAUUUUUCUGAUGUUUUAUUUAGAUUUAGGCAAGAUGAUUUAUUAUAUAUUACAAGAUCUAAAUACUGUAACUGUUUUACAUGAAUAAAGACCAUGGUCUUGUAGAAAUCGAUAAAAGCAUCAAUCAAAAGAGAGACGGUGGUGAAGGGUGAGACUGAGACAGAAGGCAGCCAUAGCCAAAACCAUCUCCCCAGUCUGUCUCACUCUCACCAACCUCCUUUUCUUUCCUUAACAAGUCGGUUUGUUGGCACAUUGACCCACUACCAUCUAUGAGACUGUAUGCUACCCUUUCUUUGUUUCCAAUUUUCCUCAACUGUUCCAUAUUUAUUGGCUAAUUUUCAUUUCUCAAAUAAAUACUAGUAGAAAAGUCACAAUAAUCAAGCCCUUACCAACAGGAAAAAAUAAUAAAAAAAUAAAAAAAGGGAAAAGUCCACCACCAACCGCACCAAAAAUAUAAAA